RNAcentral lists this ribosomal RNA (824 nucleotides) under uncultured organism. Its description in RNAcentral is "bacterial SSU rRNA". It matches the Rfam family "Bacterial small subunit ribosomal RNA", at positions 31 to 889 of the family's 1533-position model. The record is from RNAcentral.
GAACGCUAGCGGCGCGCUUAUGCAUGCAAGUCGAGCGAUGAGGCUGCCUACGGGCGGCACAUCAGCGGCAGACGGGUGAGUAACACGUAAGUAACCUACCCCAGAGACAGGGAUAACCCUGGGAAACGAGGGCUAAUACCGGAUGACUUCCGCGAGGAGGAAAGGCUACGGCGCUCUGGGAGGGGCUUGCGGCCCAUCAGCUAGUUGGUAGGGUAAAGGCCUACCAAGGCAAAGACGGGUAGGGGGUGUGAGAGCAUGCCCCCCACAAUGGGACUGAAACACGGCCCAUACUCCUACGGGAGGCAGCAGCAGGGAAUAUUGCACAAUAGGCGAAAGCCUGAUGCAGCGACGCCGCGUGAGUGAAGAAGGCCUUCGGGUCGUAAAGCUCUUUUGUAGGGGAAGAGGAAGGACGGUACCCUGAGAAAAAGCGUCGGCUAACUACGUGCCAGCAGCCGCGGUAAGACGUAGGACGCGAGCGUUAUCCGGAAUUACUGGGCGUAAAGGGCCAGUAGGUGGCUUGGUAAGUUGUGCGUGAAAGCCUCGUGCUCAACGCGAGGAGGCCGGACAAUACUGUCAAGCUAGAGGGCAUCAGAGGGGAGUGGAAUUCCCGGAGUAGCGGUAAAAUGCGCAGAUAUCGGGAGGAACACCAAUGGCGAAGGCAGCUCCCUGGGAUGUACCUGACACUGAGGGGCGAAAGCUAGGGGAGCGAACAGGAUUAGAGACCCUGGUAGUCCUAGCUGUAAACGCUGGGUGCUAGGUGUGGGGCGUAGAAGUUCCGUGCCGGAGCAAACGCGAUAAGCAUCCCGCCUGGGAAUUACGGUCGC